GAGUUUGAUCAUGGCUCAGAUUGAACGCUGGCGGCAUGCCUUACACAUGCAAGUCGAACGGCAGCAUGAUCUAGCUUGCUAGAUUGAUGGCGAGUGGCGAACGGGUGAGUAAUACAUCGGAACGUGCCCUGUAGUGGGGGAUAACCAGCCGAAAGAUUAGCUAAUACCGCAUACGACCUGAGGGUUGAAAGUGGGGGACCGCAAGGCCUCAUGCUAUAGGAGCGGCCGAUGUCUGAUUAGCUAGUUGGUGGGGUAAAGGCCCACCAAGGCGACGAUCAGUAGCUGGUCUGAGAGGACGAUCAGCCACACUGGGGACUGAGACACGGGCCCAGACUCCUACGGGAGGCAGCAGUGGGGAAUUUUGGACAAUGGGCGAAAGCCUGAUCCAGCAAUGCCGCGUGUGUGAAGAAGGCCUCGGUUGUAAGU
Molecule: ribosomal RNA, 426 nt
Filed under: uncultured microorganism
Description: bacterial SSU rRNA
Rfam family: Bacterial small subunit ribosomal RNA
Source: RNAcentral